GACGAACGCUGGCGGCGUGCUUAACACAUGCAAGUCGAACGGAAAGGCCCUGCUUGCAGGGUACUCGAGUGGCGAACGGGUGAGUAACACGUGGGUGAUCUGCCCUGCACUUCGGGAUAAGCCUGGGAAACUGGGUCUAAUACCGGAUAGGAGCCAUUUUUAGUGUGAUGGUUGGAAAGUUUUUUCGGUGUAGGAUGAGCUCGCGGCCUAUCAGCUUGUUGGUGGGGUAAUGGCCUACCAAGGCGGCGACGGGUAGCCGGCCUGAGAGGGUGGACGGCCACAUUGGGACUGAGAUACGGCCCAGACUCCUACGGGAGGCAGCGGUGGGGAAGAUUGCACAAUGGGCGCAAGCCUGAUGCAGCGACGCCGCGGGGGGGAUGACGGCCUUCGGGUUGUAAACUCCUUUCGCUAGGGACGAAGCUUUUUGUGACGGUACCUAGAUAAGAAGCACCGGCUAACUACGUG
This 465-nucleotide ribosomal RNA is filed under the name uncultured bacterium. RNAcentral's name for it is "partial 16S ribosomal RNA". It matches the Rfam family "Bacterial small subunit ribosomal RNA", at positions 28 to 507 of the family's 1533-position model. The record is from RNAcentral.